RNAcentral lists this ribosomal RNA (253 nucleotides) under uncultured bacterium. RNAcentral describes it as "partial 16S ribosomal RNA". It matches the Rfam family "Bacterial small subunit ribosomal RNA", at positions 524 to 776 of the family's 1533-position model. The record is from RNAcentral.
GACAGAGGUGCCGAGCGUUAGGCGGAAUCACUGGGCUUAAAGCGUGUGUAGGCGGGCGGGCAAGUACCUUGUGAAAUCCCACGGCUCAACCGUGGAACGGCUGGGUAUACUGCCUGUCUUGAGCCAACUAGGGGCGAGCGGAACAGACGGUGGAGCGGUGAAAUGCGUAGAUAUCGUCUGGAACGCCGAGGGUGAAAACAGCUCGCUGGGGCUGUGCUGACGCUGAGACACGAAAGCCAGGGGAGCGAACGGG